UACGUAGGUGACAAGCGUUGUCCGGAUUUACUGGGCGUAAAGAGCGCGCAGGCGGUCGUUCAAGUCGCGUGUGAAAGCCCCCGGCUCAACUGGGGAGGGUCACGCGAUACUGAUCGACUCGAAGGCAGGAGAGGGUAGUGGAAUUCCCGGUGUAGUGGUGAAAUGCGUAGAUAUCGGGAGGAACACCAGUGGCGAAGGCGACUACCUGGCCUGUUCUUGACGCUGAGGCGCGAAAGCUAGGGGAG
This 245-nucleotide ribosomal RNA is filed under the name uncultured bacterium. Its description in RNAcentral is "partial 16S ribosomal RNA". It matches the Rfam family "Bacterial small subunit ribosomal RNA", at positions 524 to 768 of the family's 1533-position model. The record is from RNAcentral.